CUCUGCAUAGAAGUUAAAUAAGCAGAGUGACAAUAUACAGCCUGGAUGUAUUCCUUUCCCAAUUUUUUGUUCCAUAUCUGGUUCUAACUGUUGCUUCUUGCCCUGCAUAUAGAUUUCUCAGGAGGCGGGGAUUAGGGACCAUUUUGUUUCUGUAACAUAACCUUGCUGACCCUGACUGCCUGGACUCAGAGUUGAUGGAGAGACAAGGUUAAAGGCAGAGUCCCAGCCCGCCAAGUGUGCACAGUCGUGUUGGGGACGUCCAACCUGAAUACCAGGGGAGAGUUAAACGAUGAGCCACCAGUCACCAUUCAGAGGCAUGGUGCCAUGGAGCAGACUGAAAACGUUCAGCCCCUGGAAGGACAACAUGACGUGAUCUGAGCAGAAAGCCAGCUCACCAGUGCUGGGACAGCCUGAGGAGGCUUCAUGGAGGAAGCGUGAGGAAGGGGCUUUGAAGGUUCGGGAGGUUUGGGGACAGGGGUCGGGGCAAGAGAUCAAGGAGGUGAGAGCUAAGGAGCCAGGACUGAGCAAAACACGGAGCCCAGAGGGCUGCCUAGCCGGUGAUUUCAUGUGAAACAGGUGUUUUGAGAAAAUGAGAGAGAGAGAAAUAGGCCAUCUGGAAGAGACAUCACAUCUCCUUCCUGCGCUCCCUAUUCUUCCUUUGAAGAAAAAACUGCCUCCAUAAGCUGCGUCAUCAGGAACGACAUUGGUCAAACUGACCUUUGGAGGUUUAAUACUGCUUGUUUUAGUCAAGCAUCCAACUUGACUUGAAAACAAGAGGAAGGUGACUGCAGAUAAAGUCAAAACUAUUGUGGUUUUUCAAAUCCUAUUUGAGUAAUCUCUCCCCACAGCUACAGGCGCUGACCACACUUUCCACUUCUCAUUCAUCCAGUCAGUCAAAGUCAGUCAGCCUGUGAGUGUCUCAACAUCAAUCAAUCUGCCGAUCACUGCCAGUCAUUGUCUGCCAGCCAGUGACGGUCAGUCAGUCAGUCUCUUAAUUAGUGUCUGACAGUCAGUGUCAAUCGU
RNAcentral lists this long non-coding RNA (1023 nucleotides) under Capra hircus (goat). RNAcentral describes it as "lncRNA (ENSCHIG00010024130.1)". Lineage: Eukaryota; Metazoa; Chordata; Mammalia; Artiodactyla; Bovidae. The record is from RNAcentral.